Molecule: ribosomal RNA, 506 nt
Filed under: uncultured bacterium
Lineage: Bacteria
Description: partial 16S ribosomal RNA
Rfam family: Bacterial small subunit ribosomal RNA
Source: RNAcentral
AUUGAACGCUGGCGGCAGGCCUAACACAUGCAAGUCGAACGGUAACAGGAAUCAGCUUGCUGAUUCGCUGACGAGUGGCGGACGGGUGAGUAAUGUCUGGGAAACUGCCUGAUGGAGGGGGAUAACUACUGGAAACGGUAGCUAAUACCGCAUAACGUCGCAAGACCAAAGAGGGGGACCUUCGGGCCUCUUGCCAUCGGCUGUGCCCAGAUGGGAUUAGCUAGUAGGUGGGGUAACGGCUCACCUAGGCGACGAUCCCUAGCUGGUCUGAGAGGAUGACCAGCCACACUGGAACUGAGACACGGUCCAGACUCCUACGGGAGGCAGCAGUGGGGAAUAUUGCACAAUGGGCGCAAGCCUGAUGCAGCCAUGCCGCGUGUAUGAAGAAGGCCUUCGGGUUGUAAAGUACUUUCAGCGAGGAGGAAGGUGUUGUGGUUAAUAACCACAGCAAUUGACGUUACUCGCAGAAGAAGCACCGGCUAACUCCGUGCCAGCCGCCGCUGUAA